RNAcentral lists this ribosomal RNA (465 nucleotides) under uncultured bacterium. RNAcentral describes it as "partial 16S ribosomal RNA". It matches the Rfam family "Bacterial small subunit ribosomal RNA", at positions 338 to 795 of the family's 1533-position model. The record is from RNAcentral.
CCUACGUGCGGCAGCAGUGGGGAAUAUUGCGCAAUGGGCGAAAGCCUGACGCAGCGACGCCGCGUGAGGGAUGAAGGUCUUCGGAUCGUAAACCUCUGUCAGCAGGGAAGAACGGUCACUGUGCUAAUCAGCAGUGAAUUGACGGUACCUGCAAAGGAAGCACCGGCUAACUCCGUGCCAGCAGCCGCGGUAAUACGGAGGGUGCGAGCGUUAAUCGGAAUUACUGGGCGUAAAGCGCUCGUAGGCGGUAUGUCAAGUCAAGGGUGAAAUCCCCGCGCUCAACGUGGGAACUGCCUUUGAAACUGGCAAACUGGAGUGUGUGAGAGGAUAGUGGAAUGCCAGGUGUAGGAGUGAAAUCCGUAGAUAUCUGGAGGAACAUCAGUGGCGAAGGCGACUAUCUGGCACAUAACUGACGCUGAGGAGCGAAAGCGUGGGUAGCAAACAGGAUUAGAUACCCCGGUAGUC